ACCGCCAUGGUGAAAUGGUAGACACAUGACUUUCAAAAAGUCAGGAAGCAAUUCGUAUCGGUUCGAGUCCGAUUGGCGGUA
RNAcentral lists this transfer RNA (81 nucleotides) under Elliptochloris bilobata. Its description in RNAcentral is "tRNA-Leu". It matches the Rfam family "tRNA". Rfam says of the family: Transfer RNA (tRNA) molecules are approximately 80 nucleotides in length. The record is from RNAcentral. Lineage: Eukaryota; Viridiplantae; Chlorophyta; Trebouxiophyceae.